AAACAUAGCCGGUAGUUAUUAUAUUAUCGGUGCAGCCUGCCCGGUGAAUUUUUAACGGCCGCAGUACUAUGACUGUGCAAAGGUAGCAUAAUCAUUUGACUUUUAAUUGAAGUCUAGUAUGAAAGGAAAAAACGUAUAUAAGCUGUAUCUAUAAAUAAAUUUAUCUAAAUUAUUUAUAGGGUGAAAAUACCCUAAAUAAAAAAAAUAGACGAGAAGACCCUUAGAAUUUUAAGAAAAGCCAUAAAUUUAAUAUGGGGUGAUUUUUGUUGGGGCAACAUUUUUUCAUUAAAUAAAAAAAUUAACAUUAUAAUAUAACGAAAAAGUUUAAUAAAGAAAAAAUUACCUUAGGGAUAACAGCAUAAUUUUAAGUAAAGAUUGUGACCUCGAUGUUGGAUUAGGAACUCCUAAGGCUAGUCGUUUUAGUAUAAUAAGUUCUGUUCGAACUUUGUUUCCUA
This 455-nucleotide ribosomal RNA is filed under the name Montenegrina dofleini wagneri. Its description in RNAcentral is "partial 16S ribosomal RNA". The stretch from base 1 to 194 matches the Rfam family "Archaeal large subunit ribosomal RNA", at positions 1903 to 2143 of the family's 2987-position model. The record is from RNAcentral. Lineage: Eukaryota; Metazoa; Mollusca; Gastropoda; Stylommatophora; Clausiliidae.